This 424-nucleotide ribosomal RNA is filed under the name uncultured bacterium. Its description in RNAcentral is "bacterial SSU rRNA". It matches the Rfam family "Bacterial small subunit ribosomal RNA", at positions 355 to 776 of the family's 1533-position model. The record is from RNAcentral.
UGAGGAAUAUUGCGCAAUGGACGAAAGUCUGACGCAGCCAUGCCGCGUGAAGGAUGACUGCCCUAUGGGUUGUAAACUUCUUUUAUACACCAAGAAACCUGAGGACGUGUCCUCAGCUGACGGUAGUGUAUGAAUAAGCACCGGCUAACUCCGUGCCAGCAGCCGCGGUAAUACGGAGGGUGCAAGCGUUAUCCGGAUUUAUUGGGUUUAAAGGGUCCGUAGGUGGACCAUUAAGUCAGAGGUGAAAGCCCGCGGCUCAACCGCGGAACUGCCUUUGAUACUGGUGGUCUUGAGUGUGCUCGAAGUUGGCGGAAUAUGACAUGUAGCGGUGAAAUGCUUAGAUAUGUCAUAGAACACCGAUUGCGAAGGCAGCCAACUAGGUCACAACUGACACUGAGGGACGAAAGCGUGGGGAGCGAACAGG